Molecule: ribosomal RNA, 497 nt
Filed under: uncultured bacterium
Lineage: Bacteria
Description: partial 16S ribosomal RNA
Rfam family: Bacterial small subunit ribosomal RNA
Source: RNAcentral
GAUGAACGCUGGCGGCGUGCCUAAUACAUGCAAGUCGAGCGAACGGACGAGAAGCUUGCUUCUCUGAUGUUAGCGGCGGACGGGUGAGUAACACGUGGAUAACCUACCUAUAAGACUGGGAUAACUUCGGGAAACCGGAGCUAAUACCGGAUAAUAUUUUGAACCGCAUGGUUCAAAAGUGAAAGACGGUCUUGCUGUCACUUCUAGAUGGAUCCGCGCUGCAUUAGCUAGUUGGUAAGGUAACGGCUUACCAAGGCAACGAUGCAUAGCCGACCUGAGAGGGUGAUCGGCAACACUGGAACUGAGACACGGUCCAGACUCCUACGGGAGGAAGCAGUAGGGAAUCUUCCGCAAUGGGCGAAAGCCUGACGGAGCAACGCCGCGUGAGUGAUGAAGGUCUUCGGAUCGUAAAACUCUGUUAUUAGGGAAGAACAUAUGUGUAAGUAACUGUGCACAUCUUGACGGUACCUAAUCAGAAAGCCACGGCUAACUACGUG